This 446-nucleotide ribosomal RNA is filed under the name uncultured bacterium. RNAcentral's name for it is "bacterial SSU rRNA". It matches the Rfam family "Bacterial small subunit ribosomal RNA", at positions 330 to 792 of the family's 1533-position model. The record is from RNAcentral.
CCCAGACUCCUACGGGAGGCAGCAGUGGGGAAUAUUGCACAAUGGGGGAAACCCUGAUGCAGCGACGCCGCGUGGGUGAAGAAGUAUUUCGGUAUGUAAAGCCCUCUCAGCAGGGAAGAAAGAAGACGGUACCUGACUAAGAAGCCCCGGCUAACUACGUGCCAGCAGCCGCGGUAAUACGUAGGGGGCGAGCGUUAUCCGGAUUCACUGGGUGUAAAGGGAGCGUAGACGGCCGUGCAAGCCAGGAGUGAAAGCCCGGGGCCCAACCCCGGGACUGCUCUUGGAACUGUGCGGCUGGAGUGCGGGAGGGGCAGGCGGAAUUCCUGGUGUAGCGGUGAAAUGCGUAGAUAUCAGGAGGAACACCGGCGGCGAAGGCGGCCUGCUGGACCGCGACUGACGUUGAGGCUCGAAAGCGUGGGGAGCGAACAGGAUUAGAUACCCUCGUA